GACGAACGCUGGCGGCGUGCCUAAUACAUGCAAGUUGAGCGCUGAAGGUUGGUACUUGUACCGACUGGAUGAGCAGCGAACGGGUGAGUAACGCGUGGGGAGUCUGCCUUUGAGCGGGGGACAACAUUUGGAAACGAAUGCUAAUACCGCAUAAAAACUUUAAACACAAGUUUUAAGUUUGAAAGAUGCAAUUGCAUCACUCAAAGAUGAUCCCGCGUUGUAUUAGCUAGUUGGUGAGGUAAAGGCUCACCAAGGCGAUGAUACAUAGCCGACCUGAGAGGGUGAUCGGCCACAUUGGGACUGAGACACGGCCCAAACUCCUACGGGAGGCAGCAGUAGGGAAUCUUCGGCCAUGGACGAAAGUCUGACCGAGCAACGCCGCGUGAGUGAAGAAGGUUUUCGGAUCGUAAAACUCUGUUGGUAGAGAAGAACGUUGGUGAGAGUGGAAAGCUCAUCAAGUGACGGUAACUACCCAGAAAGGGACGGCUAACUACGUG
Molecule: ribosomal RNA, 497 nt
Filed under: uncultured bacterium
Lineage: Bacteria
Description: partial 16S ribosomal RNA
Rfam family: Bacterial small subunit ribosomal RNA
Source: RNAcentral